This 463-nucleotide ribosomal RNA is filed under the name uncultured bacterium. Its description in RNAcentral is "partial 16S ribosomal RNA". It matches the Rfam family "Bacterial small subunit ribosomal RNA", at positions 28 to 507 of the family's 1533-position model. The record is from RNAcentral.
GACGAACGCUGGCGGCGUGCUUAACACAUGCAAGUCGAACGGAAAGGCCUUUUCGGCGGUACUCGAGUGGCGAACGGGUGAGUAACACGUGGGUGAUCUGCCCUGCACUCUGGGAUAAGCCUGGGAAACUGGGUCUAAUACCGGAUAGGACCGCACUUUAGUGUGUGUGGUGGAAAGUUUUUUCGGUGUAGGAUGAGCCCGCGGCCUAUCAGCUUGUUGGUGGGGUAAUGGCCUACCAAGGCGGCGACGGGUAGCCGGACUGAGAGGUUGGUCGGCCACAUUGGGACUGAGAUACGGCCCAGACUCCUACGGGAGGAAGCAGUGGGGAAUAUUGCACAAUGGGCGCAAGCCUGAUGCAGCGACGCCGCGUGGGGGAUGACGGCCUUCGGGUUGUAAACUCCCUUCGCCAGGGACGAAGCGUUUUGUGACGGUACCUGGAGAAGAAGCACCGGCUAACUACGUG